GUGUUGUAUGCAAGGCGAGAAGUUUGGCACUCCCCUCGGCAAGGGUUGGAGAGGCCCUUGGGCCUGUACGACACAGACAGGUUAAGGCAUUGCUGCCUACUUCGUGGCAUCUAACCACUGUUUUUC
Molecule: non-coding RNA, 126 nt
Filed under: Dasypus novemcinctus (nine-banded armadillo)
Lineage: Eukaryota; Metazoa; Chordata; Mammalia; Cingulata; Dasypodidae
Source: RNAcentral